AACGAACGCUGGCGGCAUGCCUAACACAUGCAAGUCGAACGGGAUCCGGACUUCGGUCCGGUGAGAGUGGCGGACGGGUGAGUAACACGUGGGAACCUGCCUUUUGGUUCGGGAUAACCGCGGGAAACUGCGGCUAAUACCGGAUGCUCCCGAGAGGGAAAAGAUUUAUCGCCAGAAGAGGGGCCCGCGUCCGAUUAGGUAGUUGGUGGGGUAAUGGCCUACCAAGCCGACGAUCGGUAGCUGGUCUGAGAGGAUGAUCAGCCACACUGGGACUGAGAUACGGCCCAGACUCCUACGGGAGGCAGCAGUGGGGAAUAUUGGACAAUGGGGGCAACCCUGAUCCAGCAAUGCCGCGUGAGUGAUGAAGGCCUUAGGGUUGUAAAGCUCUUUUGCCAGGGAAGAUGAUGACUGUACCUGGAGAAUAAGCCCCCGGCUAACUUCGUGCCAGCAGCCGCGGUAAU
This 461-nucleotide ribosomal RNA is filed under the name uncultured bacterium. RNAcentral describes it as "bacterial SSU rRNA". It matches the Rfam family "Bacterial small subunit ribosomal RNA", at positions 29 to 524 of the family's 1533-position model. The record is from RNAcentral.